RNAcentral lists this ribosomal RNA (355 nucleotides) under Aulonogyrus strigosus. Its description in RNAcentral is "partial 12S ribosomal RNA". The record is from RNAcentral. RNAcentral also lists the same sequence under 1 other name. Lineage: Eukaryota; Metazoa; Arthropoda; Insecta; Coleoptera; Gyrinidae.
UUUAAAUGUAAAUUUUUGAACUAAAUUAGUAAUAGAUAUGAUCUUCAAAUUUAAAGAUUUUGGCGGUAUUUUAGUCUAUUCAGAGGAACCUGUUCUGUAAUUGAUAGUCCACGAUUAACUUUACUUAAUUUUAAAAAUUUGUAUAUCGUUGUUUAUAGAAAAUUUUAUAAGAAAAAUAAUUUUUAAUAAAUUUAAUUAAAUUAUAAAUCAAAUCAAGGUGCAGUUUAUAGUUAAGUUAGAAAUGGGUUACAAUAAAUUUAUUUAUUAAUGGAUGUAAAUUUUAAAAUUUUAUUGAAGGUGGAUUUGAUAGUAAUAUUAUUAAGUUAAAUAAUAUGAUUAUAGCUCUAAAAUAUGU